Molecule: long non-coding RNA, 1779 nt
Filed under: Olea europaea subsp. europaea
Lineage: Eukaryota; Viridiplantae; Streptophyta; Magnoliopsida; Lamiales; Oleaceae
Source: RNAcentral
GUUAACACAAAUGCUCAAAUGUUGCCUAAUCUUCUUUUGUCAUUAUUGUUUCAUCCAGGACCUUUCAGCUUGGAAAACGAUUGGCAUGGGUGAAGUGAAGGAAGGGUUUUAUCAUAUGAUGCUCAAGGAUGUUUCUUCUUCAGCCUUAUCAGAUUACUUAAGCAAGUUGCAUAACCAGUUUCCAAUCUCCGCUUCAGUGACCUCUAAUACCCAAAGUUUUGAUGUUUGGCAUUACAGAUUAGGACACGCUUCUUACUCUAUCCUUAGUGUAGAUGGUGAUGUUCAAUUUUCAAAGUCGUCCAAUAAUAAGUUUUGCUCUAUAUGUCCUUUACCUAAAAUGCACAAGUUACCUUUUCUUAAGAGCACUCACAAAACUAGAAAGUGUUUUGAAUUACUACAUUGUGAUAUUUGGGGUCCUUGUAAUGAAAUUGGUAGUGAUCGUUCUAAAUAUUUCUUAACCAUUGUGGAUGAUUUUAGCAGAUGCACUUGGGUAUAUACCUUAAAACUAAAAUCUGAUGCUACCAGUGCACUGCAAGGCUUUUGUGCUGUGGUUGAAACACAAUUUGAAGCUAAAAUUAAAAUCAUUAGAACGGAUAAUGGUGGGGAGUUCAAUAUGAAAGAAUUUUACCUUAAAAAAGGCAUUAUACACCACAAAACUUGUAUUGAAACACCCCAACAAAAUGCUAUUGUUGAAAGAAAGCAUCAACACAUUCUUAACAUAGCUAGGGCCUUGAAACUUCAAAAUGGAAUCCCAUUGAAAUAUUGGAACCAUUGUGUUUUAACCACAAUGUAUCUCAUAAAUAGGACCCCUUCAUCCAUAUUGAAAAACAAAAGCCCUUGUCAGAUCUUAUUCAAUGAAAGACCACUUUACAAUCAUCUCAAAGUAUUUGGUUGUCUUGCCUUUGCUACCACCAUUGUCAAUGGAAAACACAAAUUUGAUCCUAGAGCAAAGAGAUGCGUGUUCAUAGGCUAUCCAUUUGGAGUCAAGGGAUAUACUCUACUAGACCUCGAAACCAAGAAAUUUUUUGUCUCUAGAAAUGUAUUGUUUUAUGAAAAUAUUUUUCCUUUCAAAGAAAAUUCCAUCAAGACAGAUCAAAACAAUAUCAUCUCCACUCAAGAUCUCAUAAUUCACAAUGAAACAAUCACCACAUUCCCAAACACUAGUCAUGACAUUGAUGUGCCAGAAACAAAUUACCAAACCGUUCAGCCCAUGGAAGAUUUUUUACAAAAUUCUGACCAUGAUAAAUCCCAGCCUGACACUAACACUGAUAAUCUAGACCUCAAUAACUCUUCUUCACCAUCAAAUACAACUCCAGUCACUCAUUUUCCUCGCAGGUCAACAAGAAUCAGAAAAGCACCAACAUAUCUCCAGGACUUCAUAUGCCAUCAAGCCACCUCCCUUCACCCAUCUCAAAGGUUGGACAAGCUAAAGGAACAAAACUCUUUAGGUAAUCACUAUCCUCUUAACACUUGUGUUUCUUAUGAGAAAUUAUCAGAUUCACAUAAAGCUUUCGUUACCUCUAUCACUUCUCAAUCUGAACCUAGAAAUUACCAAGAAGCCCAAAAUUUCCCUGAGUCGAAUGCAGCCAUGAAAACUGAAAUUGAAGCUCUUGAACUUAAUGACACUUGGGUUUUAGUCGACCUACGUCCUGGCAAGAAAGCAAUAGGUUGUAAAUGGGUAUACAAAGUAAAGUUCAAUGCUGAUGGGAGCGUAGAAAGAUUCAAAGCAAGACUUGUUGCUAAAGGAUACACGCAACAAGAAGGAAUUAAUUAUCACGA